GCACUCCUGACGAGUCCCAAACAGGACGGGACAGCUGUCCAGUGC
RNAcentral lists this non-coding RNA (45 nucleotides) under Echinostoma caproni. Lineage: Eukaryota; Metazoa; Platyhelminthes; Trematoda; Plagiorchiida; Echinostomatidae. The record is from RNAcentral.